This 192-nucleotide ribosomal RNA is filed under the name uncultured prokaryote. RNAcentral describes it as "partial 16S ribosomal RNA". The record is from RNAcentral.
UUUAUGGUGAACAGUGGAUUAAGUUCAUGAAGGAUGGUGUUAAUGCCACUCCUCUCCCGACUGUUAACACUACUGGUUAUAUUGACCAUGCCGCUUUUCUUGGCACGAUUAACCCUGAUACCAAUAAAAUCCCUAAGCAUUUGUUUCAGGGUUAUUUGAAUAUCUAUAACAACUAUUUUAAAGCGCCGUGGA